AGCAGGGGAAGAUUGGAGUGGACCACAGCGACGGGAAGCUGCAAAAGAAGUUAGUGGGCAAUCAUGUGGCUGCGGCAGAACACUGGGGUGGCGCGCUGGCGUGACUUGCAGCAGAUAGAGAGAUAGGGAGAGAAGAAGGAAAAGAAGCCGUGGGAGUAGUGGAGGAGUGCCGGCGAGCCGGCGUGCGGCUGCGGCGGAGGGAGAGAAGAAAG
This 212-nucleotide unclassified non-coding RNA is filed under the name Hevea brasiliensis (rubber tree). Lineage: Eukaryota; Viridiplantae; Streptophyta; Magnoliopsida; Malpighiales; Euphorbiaceae. The record is from RNAcentral.